Molecule: long non-coding RNA, 795 nt
Filed under: Amborella trichopoda
Lineage: Eukaryota; Viridiplantae; Streptophyta; Magnoliopsida; Amborellales; Amborellaceae
Description: long non-coding RNA (ATRI_LNC003280)
Source: RNAcentral
AGAUAAAUUACAUAAAUUAAUAAAAUCCAACCAAAUAUUUCAUUUCAUCUAAGAUGACCUCUCACUCAAAAUCAAAAUAAAAAACAUUUCAGAAAAAAGGUGGAAAAAUAGUUAAAAAUUAACUAAAUUCACUCUUAUAAAUUUUUGCUCUGAUUUAGGUAGAUCAAUAUUUUAGGAACAUUUUGAUACAAGUUGGAACAUAUGUAGUGGAAUUUUGAGAGAAAGAAAUCAAAGAUUGGAGAUAGCGGUUUAGAAAAGCCCCUAAAAAUUCCACGCUAGAUCGCUUGAAAAUGCAUUUUGUUCCAAAAUAGAUGUUUUAGAGGAAUAAAAACAGAUUAUUUUCGAACAAAUUUCAAAGACUUAGUUGUAAUAAUCAAUGAGAAAAUCAAUAGAAAAGCGGAUUGGGUUUAAAAAAAGGACUCAGUUUCUAUGCGGUCAAGCCCGCAUAUGUAGAAAUAUGUGCCUCUUAAUACAUCUAUUUUUGAGAUGGAUUUUUGGACUUAAUUUUUAAGGACAUGUAAUCUCUAACAUGAACAUGAAGAUCAUGAAUAUAAAUAAAUAAAUAAAUUUUAAGAAAUAAAAAUAAUAAUUCUAGGUAAAAAAACAUUAAGAAUGUUAGUUUCCAUUAUUUUUAGAUGGAAAACGUACUUGCAUCCAUCUUUAAAAUGGAUGCUUUACACUUUUUGGACCACAUGUGCAGUCAUGCAAUCUAGCCCGCAUAAAACGAUUUUCCUUCAAAAAAAUGGUGAAAAGGAAAAUUUGAUUUUUAACCUUAAAGUAUAAUAAAUUUUAAAA